GAAAAGUUAGUUAAUAUUCUAUAACAUAAAAUUGUCAAUUUUAAAUCACUACUAUUGUAGUACCUUUCU
RNAcentral lists this transfer RNA (69 nucleotides) under Stoloteuthis sp. GS-2021. RNAcentral's name for it is "tRNA-Asp". Lineage: Eukaryota; Metazoa; Mollusca; Cephalopoda; Sepiida; Sepiolidae. The record is from RNAcentral.